RNAcentral lists this ribosomal RNA (253 nucleotides) under uncultured bacterium. RNAcentral's name for it is "partial 16S ribosomal RNA". It matches the Rfam family "Bacterial small subunit ribosomal RNA", at positions 524 to 776 of the family's 1533-position model. The record is from RNAcentral.
UACGUAGGGGGCGAGCGUUGUCCGGAGUUACUGGGCGUAAAGGGCGCGCAGGCGGUCUGGUAAGUUUGGAGUGACAGUGCUCGGCUUAACUGAGCAAGGCCUUCGAAAACUGCUAGACUUGAGCACUCAAGAGGGACAUAGAAUUCCGGGUGGAGUGGUGAAAUGCGUAGAGAUCGGCAGGAACACCCAGGGGGAAACCAGUCGACUGGGCAUCUACUGACGCUGAGGUGCGAGAGCGUGGGGAGCGAACCGG